Molecule: transfer RNA, 77 nt
Filed under: subsurface metagenome
Description: tRNA-Trp
Rfam family: tRNA
About the family: Transfer RNA (tRNA) molecules are approximately 80 nucleotides in length. Their secondary structure includes four short double-helical elements and three loops (D, anti-codon, and T loops).
Source: RNAcentral
GAGUCUGUAGCUUAAACGGCUAGAGUCCCGGAUUCCAAAUCCGGUGGAUGCGAGUUCGAAUCCUGCCAGGCUCGCCA